CCUACGGGUGGCAGCAGUGAGGAAUAUUGGUCAAUGGGCGCGAGCCUGAACCAGCCAAGUCGCGUGAGGGAAGACGGUCCUAUGGAUUGUAAACCUCUUUUGUCGGGGAGCAAAAGACGCUACGCGUAGCGUUCCGAGAGUACCCGAAGAAAAAGCAUCGGCUAACUCCGUGCCAGCAGCCGCGGUAAUACGGAGGAUGCGAGCGUUAUACGGAUUUAUUGGGUUUAAAGGGUGCGCAGGCGGAAGAUCAAGUCAGCGGUAAAAUUGAGAGGCUCAACCUCGUCGAGCCGUUGAAACUGGUGUUCUUGAGUGAGUGAGAAGUAUGCGGAAUGCGUGGUGUAGCGGUGAAAUGCAUAGAUAUCACGCAGAACUCCGAUUGCGAAGGCAGCAUACCGGCGCUCAACUGACGCUCAUGCACGAAAGUGUGGGUAUCGAACAGGAUUAGAUACCCGGGUAGUC
RNAcentral lists this ribosomal RNA (459 nucleotides) under uncultured bacterium. RNAcentral describes it as "partial 16S ribosomal RNA". It matches the Rfam family "Bacterial small subunit ribosomal RNA", at positions 338 to 795 of the family's 1533-position model. The record is from RNAcentral.